GACGAACGCUGGCGGCGUGCUUAACACAUGCAAGUCGAACGGAAAGGCCCUGCUUUUGUGGGGUGCUCGAGUGGCGAACGGGUGAGUAACACGUGAGUAACUUGCCCUUGACUUUGGGAUAACUUCAGGAAACUGGGGCUAAUACCGGAUAGGAGCUCCUGCUGCAUGGUGGGGGUUGGAAAGUUUCGGCGGUUGGGGAUGGACUCGCGGCUUAUCAGCUUGUUGGUGGGGUAGUGGCUUACCAAGGCUUUGACGGGUAGCCGGCCUGAGAGGGUGACCGGCCACAUUGGGACUGGGAUACGGCCCAGACUCCUACGGGAGGCAGCAGUGGGGAAUAUUGCACAAUGGGCGGAAGCCUGAUGCAGCAACGCCGCGUGCGGGAUGACGGCCUUCGGGUUGUAAACCGCUUUCGCCUGUGACGAAGCGUGAGUGACGGUAAUGGGUAAAGAAGCACCGGCUAACUACGUG
This 468-nucleotide ribosomal RNA is filed under the name uncultured bacterium. Its description in RNAcentral is "partial 16S ribosomal RNA". It matches the Rfam family "Bacterial small subunit ribosomal RNA", at positions 28 to 507 of the family's 1533-position model. The record is from RNAcentral.